GUUUUUUUCUGGAUCAAACCUGCUUUAUAAAUGGACAUUUUGGGUAUAUAUGGACGGAAUUAAUCGAAAAAAAGGACCAAUUGUGAUGUUUAUGGAACAUAUUGGAGUGCCAACAAAGAAGCUCGUCAAAGAACAUGGAGCCAGUUCAAAUGGAUAAGAAUCACCGAAGAUGCGUCGAAGGUUAUCUGUAUUUGGGCCCAGAUGACGGAACGGAUCACUGUCUGUGUGUGUCUGUCUGCAGAUCACAUGGACAGUGUCCUCUAUAGUUGAUUGUAAUGAACGGUUUCUCUAGAACCUUCCAGGACUCAGUCACAGCUGCCAUCUUCCUCCUCCCUGUUUAAUGACGAUCCCGGAGGUCUCUUCAGUACGGACCAGACUUCACCUCUGAUCAAUAGAAACAGGACACCUUCCAUCCUUGUGUGAAUUCAUUCUGUCUGUGGAUACAGAGAACAUCAACGUGCCAGAGGAUAAACCCAUUGGACUUGGG
Molecule: long non-coding RNA, 487 nt
Organism: Oncorhynchus masou masou (cherry salmon)
Lineage: Eukaryota; Metazoa; Chordata; Actinopteri; Salmoniformes; Salmonidae
Exons: 4
Source: RefSeq, a predicted model, not a curated record